AUAUCCAUAAACUCAUCAUCUUCUUCAAACUACAUUAUAUAUCAUGAGCAUAAAUGAAUUAAAACCACUUCUUAAUCCACCAAAAUUUAGAAAUUUAUGGUAAUAAAGAUCGAGAAAUACAAGAAAAUAACAAGGAGAUUUUUAUUUAAAAAAAAAGAAAAAAAAAACUCUAAUGAAAACCUACUACUACAAUGGGGAAAUAAAAGUUACAUAAAUGGUUACAUAUGAGGGUAACUAAUUAUAAAAAUAUCUAACUAACACUAUACAUAUAGUAUCUCUAAAUAACAACAUUCAUAAAAGAAAAAAAUUUCUAUAGUUACAAAAGAAAAAUUAUUUAUUUUAUUUAUUUUCUUCUAACUCCAAGGAGGAGUAGUCUUACUGUUGUGAGGGGCUGCUACGGUGGAGUCUCCUUCGGUUUCCGAUUCGUGUCGAGAGCUCGAACCUCGCCGGUUCCGGAGGCGAGGAAUCACGAUGAUGAAGAUAAUAAGGAGGAAGAAGGCAGUGGUAAGAACAAGAAACACUAUCUUACCAUGUAGAGCAAAGUUCUUGUCUUGAGAAAUUGGAACCUCAUCUACUUGUUCUUGUUGUUUUGGGCCAUAAUAAUAAUAAUUAGUGUUGUUAUUAUUGUUGUAAGGAGUAGUAGU
RNAcentral lists this long non-coding RNA (644 nucleotides) under Arachis ipaensis. Its description in RNAcentral is "long non-coding RNA (AIPA_LNC000018)". The record is from RNAcentral. Lineage: Eukaryota; Viridiplantae; Streptophyta; Magnoliopsida; Fabales; Fabaceae.